Molecule: unclassified non-coding RNA, 246 nt
Filed under: Hevea brasiliensis (rubber tree)
Lineage: Eukaryota; Viridiplantae; Streptophyta; Magnoliopsida; Malpighiales; Euphorbiaceae
Source: RNAcentral
GUACAGCUCAGCAGCCGGGUAAUAGGUCCGGGUUGUCCAGCCUUCUUGAAGCUAUGCAUGAGCCCCACCGUUUGCCAAUCAAAGUAAUUCUGGCAUUCCACUGAGAAUAGAGUAUGAAUCCUGUACGGUGCCUCCUGACCAUUUUCCACACCCAACACAACAUCAAUCCAUAACCACAACAAAACCCAGAUCAAGACCGUGAAUUUAGCCAUUGUAGCUCAAAUGCAAUGCCUGAUUCGAAAUGGG